CGCGAGUAUUCAGAGUUUGAUCCUGGCUCAGAACGAACGCUGGCGGCAUGCCUAACACAUGCAAGUCGAACGAGACCUUCGGGUCUAGUGGCGCACGGGUGCGUAACGCGUGGGAAUCUGCCCUUGGGUUCGGAAUAACAGUGAGAAAUUACUGCUAAUACCGGAUGAUGUCUUCGGACCAAAGAUUUAUCGCCCAGGGAUGAGCCCGCGUAGGAUUAGCUAGUUGGUGGGGUAAUGGCCUACCAAGGCGACGAUCCUUAGCUGGUCUGAGAGGAUGAUCAGCCACACUGGGACUGAGACACGGCCCAG
Molecule: ribosomal RNA, 309 nt
Filed under: uncultured bacterium
Lineage: Bacteria
Description: partial 16S ribosomal RNA
Rfam family: Bacterial small subunit ribosomal RNA
Source: RNAcentral